UACGUAGGCAGCAAGCGUUGUUCGGAGUUACUGGGCGUAAAGGGUGUGUAGGCGGUUCUUUUAAGUUUGGUGUGAAAUCUCCCGGCUCAACUGGGAGGGUGCGCCGAAUACUGAGGGACUUCGAGUGCGGGGAGAGGAAAGUGGAAUUCCUGGUGUAGCGGUGAAAUGCGUAGAUAUCAGGAGGAACACCGGUGGUGUAGACGGCUUUCUGGACCGUAACUGACGCUGAGACACGAAAGCGUGGGUAGCAAACAGG
This 256-nucleotide ribosomal RNA is filed under the name uncultured bacterium. RNAcentral's name for it is "partial 16S ribosomal RNA". It matches the Rfam family "Bacterial small subunit ribosomal RNA", at positions 524 to 776 of the family's 1533-position model. The record is from RNAcentral.